This 166-nucleotide unclassified non-coding RNA is filed under the name uncultured fungus. RNAcentral describes it as "sequence contains ITS1, 5.8S rRNA gene". Lineage: Eukaryota; Fungi. The record is from RNAcentral.
CCGAGUACCGGUGCCCUUUGGGUACCUGCUCCCACCAUUUGUGAACCUUUUUCGUUGCCUCGGCGGACCGAUGGUCCCCAUCCUCCGGCGCAAGCUGGAGAGUGUUCGCCAGAGGAUUUUCAAACCCGUUUAAUUUUGAAAUCUGAGUCAAAACAAAAUAAAAACA